GACGAACGCUGGCGGCGUGCUUAACACAUGCAAGUCGAACGGAAAGGCCCUGCUUUUGUGGGGUGCUCGAGUGGCGAACGGGUGAGUAACACGUGAGUAACCUGCCCUUGACUUUGGGAUAACUUCAGGAAACUGGGGCUAAUACCGGAUAGGAGCUCCUGCUGCAUGGUGGGGGUUGGAAAGUUUCGGCGGUUGGGGAUGGACUCGCGGCUUAUCAGCUUGAUGGUGGGGUAGUGGCUUACCAAGGCUUUGACGGGUAGCCGGCCUGAGAGGGUGACCGGCCACAUUGGGACUGAGAUACGGCCCAGACUCCUACGGGAGGCAGCAGUGGGGAAUAUUGCACAAUGGGCGGAAGCCUGAUGCAGUAACGCCGCGUGCGGGAUGACGGCCUUCGGGUUGUAAACCGCUUUCGCCUGUGACGAAGCGUGAGUGACGGUAAUGGGUAAAGAAGCACCGGCUAACUACGU
Molecule: ribosomal RNA, 467 nt
Filed under: uncultured bacterium
Lineage: Bacteria
Description: partial 16S ribosomal RNA
Rfam family: Bacterial small subunit ribosomal RNA
Source: RNAcentral